UUUUCGGAGAGUUUGAUCCUGGCUCAGGACGAACGCUGGCGGCGUGCCUAAUACAUGCAAGUCGAGCGGACAGAAAGGAGCUUGCUCCCGGAUGUUAGCGGCGGACGGGUGAGUAACACGUGGGUAACCUGCCUGUAAGACUGGGAUAACUCCGGGAAACCGGAGCUAAUACCGGAUAGUUCCUUGAACCGCAUGGUUCAAGGAUGAAAGACGGUUUCGGCUGUCACUUACAGAUGGACCCGCGGCGCAUUAGCUAGU
Molecule: ribosomal RNA, 258 nt
Filed under: Bacillus pumilus
Lineage: Bacteria; Bacillati; Bacillota; Bacilli; Caryophanales; Bacillaceae
Description: partial 16S ribosomal RNA
Rfam family: Bacterial small subunit ribosomal RNA
Source: RNAcentral